Molecule: ribosomal RNA, 954 nt
Filed under: Toxocara vitulorum
Lineage: Eukaryota; Metazoa; Nematoda; Chromadorea; Rhabditida; Toxocaridae
Description: 16S ribosomal RNA
Source: RNAcentral
UAGUUUUUUUUUUCUUAUUGUUUGGUAUUGCAUACCAUUUUUGGAUGUUAACAUUUUUAUGUGUAAUAGAAAGGUGAGGUAGAGGUUUCCUUGUUUUUGUUGUUACAUAAUAAAAGUUAGGUUGCCUGGUGUUGAAAUGUCGUCUUAUCUUUUAUCUGUGUAAUAGGUAUUUAUUAGAAAAUUAUAAUUCUGUGUGUGGUUUUAGGAAUGUGAGAUUUUGUAGUGUUCUUUUAUCUGUGUUUUAUAACGCUUUCUUUUUGUAUCGUGUUUUUGUUUUUUUAUUAUUAAUUUAUUAAUAAUUUAAUAAUUUAGAAUUUAGUAGUUUUUAAAACUUUGUUUUUUGUUUUAAUUUUUUUUUGUGAACUUGAGUUUUGAUCAAAUGUUUUUUAAAGACUUAGGUUUCUUUUUGUAACUGGCCUCUGCUCUAUGUUUUGAUAAAUGGCAGUCUUAGCGUGAGGACAUUAAGGUAGCAAAAUAAUUUGUGCUUUUAAUGGGUUCUAGUAUGAAUGGGGUUAUUGGUUGAUUGUCUUCUUAUGUUUUUAUGAACUAGGUCUUUGUUUAAGAAAUAAUAUUUGAGGUUAUACAAAGAUAAGUCUUCGGAAGUUUUUUUCUUAAUUUUUUUUUAAUUAUUUUGAGAUGUUUCUUAGGGUAAGAGUUUUGGUAAUUGUUUUUUCUAUUUAUAAGAUAUAAAACUACUUCGGAGUUAACAGAAAUUCAUGUUUUUACCAGUUCUUAUGGUAAUGAUAAGUUUUACAUCGAUGUUGUAUUUUAGUUGUCCAGGAUAGGAGAUGGUUUGGGGUUUUAGACUGUUCUUCUUUUAGUAAACUGAACGUGAUAUUAGUUUAAUUCAUCGUGAGAUAGAAUUGUUUAUCUUGAUAAUCUUUUGUUUUUGGUGGUGGAUAGUACGAAAGGAAAUUUGUUAAGGUUUUUAACCUUGUUAGAGGGUAGCCUCUG